CGGGGUAGAGCUCAGUGGUAGAGCACUUGCUUGGUGUGUACGAGGUCCUGGAUUCAAUCCUCAGUGCCUCUG
This 72-nucleotide transfer RNA is filed under the name Camelus ferus (Wild Bactrian camel). It matches the Rfam family "tRNA". Rfam says of the family: Transfer RNA (tRNA) molecules are approximately 80 nucleotides in length. Lineage: Eukaryota; Metazoa; Chordata; Mammalia; Artiodactyla; Camelidae. The record is from Rfam by way of RNAcentral.